ACAACGCCCUGAUCUCUUUCUUACUGUCUGUCUCACAUCUCCUUUCAUUUUGAGACCAGCCAUUGUACUCCUUGGACCUGGCUCGAUGCUCUCUGGAGUUAAGAGCUUUACUCAGCAAUGUACUGUGUUAGAAUGGUGGAGAGCCAGUCUUUGGGCCUGAACCCAGAAGAGAAGCUUCACAGCUCAGGGAAUAACCAGCAUUUGAACUCGUGCAUGCAGGAGACAUUAGGAAACUGAAUCAGAACAAUGCAAGAGACAUCAGGAAACCGAAUCAGAACAGCAACAGCAAAAGAUAACAUUGUGGAGUCCUUGGUUCAGGUGGCAGCAGAGCCCAGCAUUUCGUACACCAAGAAACUGCAGCUAAAACAGAUACAUGAAUGAUUUGAACAAUGAAAAGAUGGGAACAGCAACAUCUCCAGGGAACAUGCUGCUGACAUAGUAGGAUACAAGACUCUAGGAAAGUCGAUUGUCAUCUUACCUGGUAGCAUUUGAUGUGAAUGUGAGUCUCUAAUACUGCCUGGUAAUGAUGGUAAUCUCUUUCCUCAUUGGCUACAGCUCUCGUAAGCACAUCUGCUAUGGCUUCUCCUCUAAAUUAUCUAUGAUACUAUUCAUUUACAACCCAUGUACAGGUAGUAGGUUGUAAAGUAAAGCAAUGACCUAUAUCCCAGUCUUAAUCUUCAGGUCUAAGAAUGUUUUUUCUUCUUUAUCCAAUGUCAGUUUUUGUCUUCUACAGCAGUGGGUGGGUCAUCUCUGAUUGCUCUUGUUUAUUUUUCCAUUAAUUAAAGUCCUCCUUCAGUUCUAUGAGGAAAAAUUGCUAUUUUUUUCUCUGCACAGGCUGGAUUUGGGACAUAUGACUAGCUCCUUCCUUUACAAUGUCCUGAGCCAUUCAGUACUUUCAGCUUUAUUAUUCUGCUCUGUAUUUAGCAAGUUAUAUUUGAGGAAGCAUCCUGGUUUCAGACUGUUUAAAUGGCAGCACACAAAAAGCCAGGCGAGAUUAUUUUGUUCUUUCAGAGCUAAUCAAGAACUAGCUAGGUGGCAAGAUGUCUCUGUGCAUUUCAUAUGGAGAUGUUGUUAUACAGUUUACUAGGAUGUUAGGAGUGUUACACUGAACAAGGAACAGUGCACUGACAAAAAGUAAGCAGGUAAUUCUAUUCUGCUAUGUUGUUUUAUAUGGAAACGUGCCUCGUCAUCCAUCAAACAACAUGACUGUCACAAGAUUAUCUCACCAAAUAACAGAUGUAAUAAGUGUGACAUUGUUAUAGAGAUGCAACAAAAUUAUUGAGCUUUGCCAAAUGCAGUCCUGUACUCUGCAGAGCAUGGUUUCUAAUUUGACAGCAGUUCAAAGCGAUGGAAAAAUUGUUUAUAAGGGGCUUCCACUUUUUUCUCUUUGAAGUGUCCACUUUUUUCUCUGAGAAGUGGUAAUCUUUGAAUUUGUUGCAAUAAUUUAAAGGGGUAAAUUUCUCGCAUAGGUGUUGUGAUGGACUCUAUAGCCCAGACAAAACAGUUUUCUCACAUUUCUCAUGCAUACAGUUAACUGUGUUAUAUAUUUGACAACUGUUUCAAUUUCUGCUUUUGAUAAAUUGUCUCUAAUUCACGUGCUCUUCUUGACAUAACUUACUAGAGUUUCUUUGUAAUUGUGUUACUCCAUUACUAUGUCACGCAUAAGUUUUACCACAAACACUGGUACACAACAUAAGUUUACCGAAGUCACAGUGAGCAUGUUGUAAAUAUUUUGAGUGUGUACCACAAAUCACAAGCCAGCAUUACUCCAUACAGUCCUAUAUAUAUAUAUCUCAGGAUGGGAAGAUUAACACAAUGGAUUAAAGCUAUGAGCUUCUCACAGCUUCAUUCUGUAGUCCAGGGUUGGAUUCCUUCAGCAUCGAUUUGCCUGCUGUCUGGCUCUGAGAAAAUCACUUAACUAACCAAUGGUCCUAGUUUUCCUCUAGAAAGAGACAGGUAGAUUCAGUCUACUUAACUAGCUAACACAGUCUGGAUGUUGAGAUUAAUCUAUGUAUCUGAUGUACUGCAUUUUUAAAAUGAUAAUCUCUGCUGUUUUAUAAAAUACUGGCAGCCCCAAAGAGCCUGGGAUAUCCUGCAUGUCUUCUAUUCCACUCUAAGGAGGAUGCUGACAAGUUCAUGUAAAUACUUUCUGGAGAGUCUAAGUGUAGAACUUCCAUGUCUAAAAUGUACAGCUUUUAAAUGAAAUACUGCUUUAAGCAAUGAAUGACUGCUGUCUCAUCUUAACCAAGAAAUUAAAAGAAGAGCAAAAGGUCUUCUGCUUUGGGACGAAGCAUAUUAAGUUAAAAAAUUGUAAAUUAAUUUCACCAAAUCUCUACAUAAGUCUGAUUUGGAAGAAGGCUAAUGGUGCUAAAACAGGUUUGGAAAUAAAAUGGAGGAACAGGGUAUACUUAUAAAUACCCAAAGAAUGGAUUAGAAGUUGUAAUUUCACAUUUAGCAUGAUUUUUAGAAACCAGUAAUCAUUUUAUCAGUUUAGACAAAUUGUUUCAAGAUUAAAAUGAGGGCAAAACAUCAUGGGGAUUGGAGUCCUGCAGAAUUUUGUGCAAGUCACACAUAUAAAGCCAUUUCAAGGUGAUCGAGUGUAUGUUUUUCAGCCUGUUUGACUGCAUUGUACCAGACUGUGUCAGAUGAAAUGUGACAUUUUCUAACACUGUCUGGUAACGAUGGUGUCAGAGAGGCACAUUCACCAUAAAUGUCAUCAAGUCGCUGACCGAUGGUGUCAGGGAGGUACAUUCAGCAUAAAUGUCAUCAAGUCGCUGACCGAUAGUGUCAGGGAGGUACAUUCAGCAUAAAUGUCAUCAAGUCGCUGACCGAUGGUGUCAGGAAGGUACAUUCACCAUAAAUGUCAUCAAGUCGCUGACCGAUGGUGUCAGGGAGGUACAAUCAGCAUAAAUGUCAUCAAGUCGCUGACCGAUGUUGUCAGGGAGGUACAUUCAGCAUAAAUGUCAUCAAGUCGCUGACCGAUGGUGUCAGGAAGGUACAUUCACCAUAAAUGUCAUCAAGUCGCUGACCGAUGGUGUCAGGAAGGUACAUUUUCCUUCAGCAGAAGUACAAGAUAGCCAAACAUAAAGUACUAUGCCUGCCCAUCUAAGCAGGAUGUACUUUUUUGAGCAGACUUUUUGAUGCACGUUGUGUUUUUAAAUCAUCCUUCUAACCUCUCCAUUCCUCAGGAGCUCAGUUUAUUUUUGAAACCCCAUAAGUUUAUUUAUUGCACUUCUGAUUGUUUAUGCUUUGUUCACAGUGUUACAUUAAUCUCUUGCUCUGAAAUUUAUUAUGUAAAGGAGUUUGGAAAAUGGACCUUGUUUAAAUAAAGUUGUAUUGCAAGUACAAAAAGAUUUGCUUUUCAAACAGUAUGUUUCAAAAUCUCAAAUAAAUAUGUAAUAAAAA
This is a long non-coding RNA of Protopterus annectens (West African lungfish), 3405 nucleotides long. RefSeq lists it as uncharacterized. The transcript is spliced from 4 exons. The record is from RefSeq and is a predicted model, not a curated record. Lineage: Eukaryota; Metazoa; Chordata; Ceratodontiformes; Protopteridae.